UACGUAGGGCGCAAGCGUUGUCCGGAAUUAUUGGGCGUAAAGAGCUCGUAGGCGGUCUGUCGCGUCUGCUGUGAAAACUCGGGGCUUAACUCCGGGCCUGCAGUGGGUACGGGCAGACUAGAGUGCGGUAGGGGAGACUGGAAUUCCUGGUGUAGCGGUGAAAUGCGCAGAUAUCAGGAGGAACACCGGUGGCGAAGGCGGGUCUCUGGGCCGUAACUGACGCUGAGGAGCGAAAGCAUGGGGGAGCGAACAGG
Molecule: ribosomal RNA, 254 nt
Filed under: uncultured bacterium
Lineage: Bacteria
Description: partial 16S ribosomal RNA
Rfam family: Bacterial small subunit ribosomal RNA
Source: RNAcentral